RNAcentral lists this ribosomal RNA (425 nucleotides) under uncultured bacterium. Its description in RNAcentral is "partial 16S ribosomal RNA". It matches the Rfam family "Bacterial small subunit ribosomal RNA", at positions 354 to 796 of the family's 1533-position model. The record is from RNAcentral.
GUGGGGAAUAUUGGACAAUGGGUGAAAGCCUGAUCCAGCAAUGCCGCGUGAGUGAAGAAGGCCUUCGGGUUGUAAAGCUCUUUUACCCGGGAAGAUAAUGACUGUACCGGGAGAAUAAGCCCCGGCUAACUCCGUGCCAGCAGCCGCGGUAAUACGGAGGGGGCUAGCGUUGGUCGGAAUUACUGGGCGUAAAGCGCACGUAGGCGGUCUUUUAAGUCAGAGGUGAAAGCCCGGGGCUCAACUCCGGAAUGGACUUUGAAACGGGAAGACUUGAACACGGGAGAGGUGAGUGGAAUUCCGAGUGUAGAGGUGAAAUUCGUAGAUAUUCGGAGGAACACCAGUGGCGAAGGCGGCUCACUGGACCGAUGUAGACGCUGAGGUGCGAAAGCGUGGGGAGCAAACAGGAUUAGAAACCCUGGUAGUCC